UUGAACGCUGGCGGCAGGCUUAACACAUGCAAGUCGAACGGUAACGGGAAGGGAGCUUGCUUUCUUUGCCGACGAGUGGCGGACGGGUGAGUAAUGCUUGGGAAUCUGGCUUAUGGAGGGGGAUAACUACGGGAAACUGUAGCUAAUACCGCGUAAUAUCUAUGGAUUAAAGGGUGGGACUUUCGGGCCACCUGCCAUAAGAUGAGCCCAAGUGGGAUUAGGUAGUUGGUUAGGUAAAGGCUGACCAAGCCGACGAUCUCUAGCUGGUCUGAGAGGAUGACCAGCCACACUGGAACUGAGACACGGUCCAGACUCCUACGGGAGGCAGCAGUGGGGAAUAUUGCACAAUGGGGGGAACCCUGAUGCAGCCAUGCCGCGUGAAUGAAGAAGGCCUUCGGGUUGUAAAGUUCUUUCGGUAGCGAGGAAGGUAUCAAAUUUAAUAGAUUUGGUAAUUGACGUUAACUACAGAAGAAGCACCGGCUAACUCCGUGCCAGCAGCCGCGGUAAUACGGAGGGUGCGAGCGUUAAUCGGAAUAACUGGGCGUAAAGGGCACGCAGGCGGUUGAUUAAGUGAGAUGUGAAAGCCCCGGGCUUAACCUGGGAAUUGCAUUUCAUACUGGUCAACUAGAGUACUUUAGGGAGGGGUAGAAUUCCACGUGUAGCGGUGAAAUGCGUAGAGAUGUGGAGGAAUACCGAAGGCGAAGGCAGCCCCUUGGGAAUGUACUGACGCUCAUGUGCGAAAGCGUGGGGAGCAAACAGGAUUAGAUACCCUGGUAGUCCACGCUGUAAACGCUGUCGAUUUGGGGAUUGGACUGUGAGUCUGGUGCCCGAAGCUAACGUGAUAAAUCGACCGCCUGGGGAGUACGGCCGCAAGGUU
RNAcentral lists this ribosomal RNA (877 nucleotides) under Actinobacillus pleuropneumoniae serovar 8 str. 405. RNAcentral describes it as "bacterial SSU rRNA". It matches the Rfam family "Bacterial small subunit ribosomal RNA", at positions 29 to 895 of the family's 1533-position model. RNAcentral also lists the same sequence under 1 other name. The record is from RNAcentral. Lineage: Bacteria; Pseudomonadati; Pseudomonadota; Gammaproteobacteria; Pasteurellales; Pasteurellaceae.